GACCGGAGAGCCAAAAGGGCGGAAGUCCAACUCGCGCGAGAACUUAACGCGAACCGGGCGGGGAGCGCUGUCUACGUGACCCUUGCUCUUUCGCCCUUCCGGCUUUAAUAAUCUCGCGACACUACCCAGAGGCUCGUUCCCACCGUGCUGCCACAGCGCCCUCGUGUGUCGGGAGGCCGCGCAGCGGGCCGCGGGCUGAGUAGGAGAUGGCCGUGCGCAGGAGCUUGCAGACUGUCAGAGCCAUUCAACUCACAUCAGUUUUCCCGUGGUUUCCAUUGCCCUGAGGGUGCCUUUCUCUACAGCCCAUCCACCACCACCCACCCCACCCCCCGUCUAUAAAUGGAUCUCUCACACCAUUCCAGUUCCUCCAUUGAGCUACCCUACUGAAAGGUGCUGAACUUCAUAAUGGGUCCCCUUUAACUUCUCAGAAGACAUUGUCUGGAAUGGAUGGGAGCUGGAGUCUCACUAAUCAUCAGUCAAGAUACUCAUCAGCUGGACUUUUUCUACAACAAGGAAACAUAUGAAAUUUCUCUCUGUUAAUGAAGCCAUCUUUGUUCGGAUUGGUCAUGUUAAAAGCACUUGAACUCC
Molecule: long non-coding RNA, 588 nt
Organism: Mastomys coucha (southern multimammate mouse)
Lineage: Eukaryota; Metazoa; Chordata; Mammalia; Rodentia; Muridae
Exons: 2
Source: RefSeq, a predicted model, not a curated record